CCCUUAGAUGUCCUGGGCCGCACGCGCGCUACACUGAACGGAUCAGCGCGUUUUCCCUUCCCGAGAGGGACGGGUAACCUGCUGAACCCCGUUCGUGGUAGGGAUCGGGGCUUGCAAUUAUUCCCCGUGAACCAGGAAUGCCCAGUAAGUGCAUGUCAUAAGCUUGCGUUGAUUACGUCCCUGCCCUUUGUACACACCGCCCGUCGCUACUACCGAUUGAACGUUUUAGUGAGGUACUCGGACUGAGCCUCAGAAGAUUCACGUCUUUUGUGCUGCUCGGGAAGAUUCCCAAACUUGAGCGUUUAGAGGAAGUAAAAGUCGUAACA
Molecule: ribosomal RNA, 326 nt
Filed under: uncultured eukaryote
Lineage: Eukaryota
Description: partial 18S ribosomal RNA
Rfam family: Eukaryotic small subunit ribosomal RNA
Source: RNAcentral